RNAcentral lists this ribosomal RNA (245 nucleotides) under uncultured Coriobacteriaceae bacterium. RNAcentral describes it as "partial 16S ribosomal RNA". It matches the Rfam family "Bacterial small subunit ribosomal RNA", at positions 524 to 768 of the family's 1533-position model. Lineage: Bacteria; Bacillati; Actinomycetota; Coriobacteriia; Coriobacteriales; Coriobacteriaceae. The record is from RNAcentral.
UACGUAGGGGGCGAGCGUUAUCCGGAUUCAUUGGGCGUAAAGCGCGCGUAGGCGGCCGCGGAAGUCGGGGGUGCAAUCCCGGGGCCCAACCCCGGAACCGCCCCCGAUACUCCGCGGCUCGGGUCCCGCAGGGGAAGGCGGAACUCCCGGUGUAGCGGUGGAAUGCGCAGAUAUCGGGAGGAACACCGGCGGCGAAGGCGGCCUUCUGGGCGGCGACCGACGCUGAGGCGCGAGAGCCGGGGGAG